GGUAGCAUAAUAACUUGUCUUUUAAUUGUGGGCUGGGAUGAAAGAGCCGACGAAAUCUAUACUAUUUAAGUAUUUUAUUAAAUUGACAUACUAGUCAAAAGGCUAGUGUGUGCCAGGGGGACGACAAGACCCUAUAAAACUUUACUUUUGAGUGGCAUCUGUUUGAGUUUUGCUGUGCGUAAGAGUUUAACUGGGGCGGUAUCUAUACGAACAAUUGAAACUAUAAUAUAAUAAAUAAAUACUAGGAACUCUAUGUGAAAUAGAACAAGUUACUUUAGGGAUAACAGCAUAAUCCUCCCAGAUAGUUCUAAUUGGCGGGUGGGCUUAUGACCUCGAUGUUGAAUUGGGGAACCUCGUGUGAGCAGCAGCACACGCAGACAGUCUGUUCGACUAUUAAAUCCCC
RNAcentral lists this ribosomal RNA (403 nucleotides) under Proasellus deminutus. RNAcentral's name for it is "partial 16S ribosomal RNA". It matches the Rfam family "Archaeal large subunit ribosomal RNA", at positions 2032 to 2666 of the family's 2987-position model. Lineage: Eukaryota; Metazoa; Arthropoda; Malacostraca; Isopoda; Asellidae. The record is from RNAcentral.